GAGUAAUGCAUAGGAAACUGCCCAGUAGUGGGGGAUAGCCCGGGGAAACCCGGAUUAAUACCGCAUACGCCCUUUGGGGGAAAGCAGGGGAUCUUCGGACCUUGCGCUAUUGGAUGUGCCUAUGUCGGAUUAGCUAGUUGGUGGGGUAAGAGCCUACCAAGGCGACGAUCCGUAGCUGGUCUGAGAGGAUGAUCAGCCACAUCGGGACUGAGACACGGCCCGAACUCCUACGGGAGGCAGCAGUGGGGAAUAUUGGACAAUGGGGGCAACCCUGAUCCAGCCAUGCCGCGUGUGUGAAGAAGGCUUUCGGGUUGUAAAGCACUUUCAGUGAGGAGGAAAACCUUACGACUAAUACUCGUGAGGCUUGACGUUACUCACAGAAGAAGCACCGGCUAACUCCGUGCCAGCAGCCGCGGUAAUACGGAGGGUGCAAGCGUUAAUCGGAAUUACUGGGCGUAAAGCGCGCGUAGGUGGUUUGAUAAGCGAGAUGUGAAAGCCCCGGGCUCAACCUGGGAACGGCAUUUCGAACUGUCAGGCUAGAGUAUGGUAGAGGAGUGUGGAAUUUCCUGUGUAGCGGUGAAAUGCGUAGAUAUAGGAAGGAACACCAGUGGCGAAGGCGGCACUCUGGACCAAUACUGACACUGAGGUGCGAAAGCGUGGGGAGCAAACAGGG
RNAcentral lists this ribosomal RNA (673 nucleotides) under bacterium MB-14. RNAcentral describes it as "bacterial SSU rRNA". It matches the Rfam family "Bacterial small subunit ribosomal RNA", at positions 108 to 777 of the family's 1533-position model. The record is from RNAcentral.